Molecule: ribosomal RNA, 1359 nt
Filed under: uncultured bacterium
Lineage: Bacteria
Description: bacterial SSU rRNA
Rfam family: Bacterial small subunit ribosomal RNA
Source: RNAcentral
AUUGAACGCUGGCGGCAGGCUUAACACAUGCAAGUCGAGCGGGGAAAGGUAGCUUGCUACCUGACCUAGCGGCGGACGGGUGAGUAAUGCUUAGGAAUCUGCCUAUUAGUGGGGGACAACAUUCCGAAAGGAAUGCUAAUACCGCAUACGCCCUACGGGGGAAAGCAGGGGAUCUUCGGACCUUGCGCUAAUAGAUGAGCCUAAGUCAGAUUAGCUAGUUGGUGGGGUAAAGGCCUACCAAGGCGACGAUCUGUAGCGGGUCUGAGAGGAUGAUCCGCCACACUGGGACUGAGACACGGCCCAGACUCCUACGGGAGGCAGCAGUGGGGAAUAUUGGACAAUGGGCGAAAGCCUGAUCCAGCCAUGCCGCGUGUGUGAAGAAGGCCUUUUGGUUGUAAAGCACUUUAAGCGAGGAGGAGGCUACUUAGAUUAAUACUCUAGGAUAGUGGACGUUACUCGCAGAAUAAGCACCGGCUAACUCUGUGCCAGCAGCCGCGGUAAUACAGAGGGUGCGAGCGUUAAUCGGAUUUACUGGGCGUAAAGCGUGCGUAGGCGGCUUUUUAAGUCGGAUGUGAAAUCCCUGAGCUUAACUUAGGAAUUGCAUUCGAUACUGGGAAGCUAGAGUAUGGGAGAGGAUGGUAGAAUUCCAGGUGUAGCGGUGAAAUGCGUAGAGAUCUGGAGGAAUACCGAUGGCGAAGGCAGCCAUCUGGCCUAAUACUGACGCUGAGGUACGAAAGCAUGGGGAGCAAACAGGAUUAGAUACCCUGGUAGUCCAUGCCGUAAACGAUGUCUACUAGCCGUUGGGGCCUUUGAGGCUUUAGUGGCGCAGCUAACGCGAUAAGUAGACCGCCUGGGGAGUACGGUCGCAAGACUAAAACUCAAAUGAAUUGACGGGGGCCCGCACAAGCGGUGGAGCAUGUGGUUUAAUUCGAUGCAACGCGAAGAACCUUACCUGGUCUUGACAUAGUAAGAACUUUCCAGAGAUGGAUUGGUGCCUUCGGGAACUUACAUACAGGUGCUGCAUGGCUGUCGUCAGCUCGUGUCGUGAGGUGUUGGGUUAAGUCCCGCAACGAGCGCAACCCUUUUCCUUAUUUGCCAGCGGGUUAAGCCGGGAACUUUAAGGAUACUGCCAGUGACAAACUGGAGGAAGGCGGGGACGACGUCAAGUCAUCAUGGCCCUUACGACCAGGGCUACACACGUGCUACAAUGGUCGGUACAAAGGGUUGCUACCUAGCGAUAGGAUGCUAAUCUCAAAAAGCCGAUCGUAGUCCGGAUUGGAGUCUGCAACUCGACUCCAUGAAGUCGGAAUCGCUAGUAAUCGCGGAUCAGAAUGCCGCGGUGAAUACGUUCCCGGGCCU